Molecule: unclassified non-coding RNA, 329 nt
Filed under: soil metagenome
Description: partial contains 5.8S ribosomal RNA, internal transcribed spacer 2, and large subunit ribosomal RNA
Rfam family: 5.8S ribosomal RNA (bases 1-120)
Source: RNAcentral
GAUGAAGAACGUAGCGAAAUGCGAUAAGUAGUGUGAAUUGCAGAAUUCAGUGAAUCAUCGAAUCUUUGAACGCACAUUGCGCCCCUUGGUAUCCCGAGGGGCAUGCCUGUUCGAGCGUCAUUUCACCACUCAAGCCCGGCUUGGUGUUGGGCGACGUCCUCUUUGGGGACGCGCCUCGAAACGCUCGGCGGCGUGGCACCGGCUUUAAGCGUAGCAGAAUCUUUCGCUUUGGAAGUCGGGGCCCCGUCUGCCGGAAGACCUGCUCGCAAGGUUGACCUCGGAUCAGGCAGGGAUACCCGCUGAACUUAAGCAUAUCAAUAAGCGGAGGA